CCUACGGGUGGCAGCAGUGGGGAAUAUUGGACAAUGGGCGAAAGCCUGAUCCAGCCAUGCCGCGUGUGUGAAGAAGGCCUUCGGGUUGUAAAGCACUUUCAGUGGGGAAGAAAGCCUUGGGGCUAAUACCCUCGAGGAAGGACAUCACCCACAGAAGAAGCACCGGCUAACUCCGUGCCAGCAGCCGCGGUAAUACGGAGGGUGCGAGCGUUAAUCGGAAUUACUGGGCGUAAAGCGCGCGUAGGCGGUCUGAUAAGCCGGUUGUGAAAGCCCCGGGCUCAACCUGGGAACGGCAUCCGGAACGGGCAGGCUAGAGGGCAGGAGAGGAAGGUAGAAUUCCCGGUGUAGCGGUGAAAUGCGUAGAGAUCGGAGGGAAUACCAGUGGCGAAGGCGGCCUUCUGGACUGACACUGACGCUGAGGUGCGAAAGCGUGGGUAGCAAACAGGACUAGAUACCCGAGUAGU
This 464-nucleotide ribosomal RNA is filed under the name Vreelandella stevensii. Its description in RNAcentral is "partial 16S ribosomal RNA". It matches the Rfam family "Bacterial small subunit ribosomal RNA", at positions 338 to 794 of the family's 1533-position model. The record is from RNAcentral. Lineage: Bacteria; Pseudomonadati; Pseudomonadota; Gammaproteobacteria; Oceanospirillales; Halomonadaceae.